GUACAAGCCCAAUUUUCAUGCCCGGGCCCAAUUAACCUUUAGCCCAAGCAAAAACAAAACAUAAAACCUGUUAAUAAUUGAACCAAAACCAAUUAACUUACCCAACUAGCCUAACCCGGAACCCAAUUACAAACAGACCCAAUUACCAUUAACCUAACCUACCCAAUCCAUUACAGAACAGGCCCAAACCCGAGGCCCAAUGUCUUAGCCCAGUAAGCUCACUGCCAAAACUAGGGUUUCAGAAAAUCUGAAACCCUAGCGCCGCACCUGCUCCUGGCCUCCUCACCUGCCCUCUGUUCACAGCCGUCACCACGCCCACUUGCCACCGACUCACCUGCUCCAACUGCUCCGCCAGUACCUGCAACAAACACCAACAAGCAACAGCAAAUACGGAUAGCAAAAAGAGAUUUUUUUGGUAGUUUGGCUAUAUAAGGCCGAUUGAAAAAAGAAAAGGGGCUUCUUUUUUCUUUUUUCGAUUUGUAACCAAGAAAACAAAUUUCAACAGAAUAAUAAAAAAUAUCAAGCUUCAAGGUGAUUCCCUGGGUUUUCGAUUGCAAUAUUUACUUUUUCUUUUUUUCGUUGUAUUUAUUUUAUUUUAUUUUGAUUUUUUUAAACGAAAUAAAAAACAUAAAAUAAAGAAAAAAGAGACUCACCGCGGGUCGCUGUUUCCUCCUCGUCGGAAACUCCUUCUCCGGUGAGGAGGCCGACUGUAGAGAAGCCUAAUAGCCUUUUCCCAUUCGUUUUUGGUCAUUUUGAGGCCGGAUUCGGGUUUAGGAGAUAGGCAUCUCUAAGGGCACGCCUUUCUCCACUCGCCGGCCACCGUGUACGGCGUCACUGGCACCGGCGAUCCGACGGCCGACAAGGUGGCCCUCGGCCGGACCCGAGAUCAAGAAAGGGGAAGAGGGAGAGAGAACUGAGAAUUUUUUAGUUCUUUAAAAAAAAAGGAAUGGGGUUGAAUGAUUUUUUUUUAAACAAAAAUUGGUUUAAAUACCUAAAUGAAACGGCGUCGUUUUGGCCUGUUUCAUUCGGCCUCAAACGACGCCGUUUUGCGUCUAAAUCGAGAUCCGACCCGCGACCCGACCCGUCUGAUCUAGGGACCCGCGUGUUUUGGACGGAAGGGUUAAUUGCACCUUUAGCCCUUCCGCUUUUUUAAUGCUUUUUAAAUUAGGUUCUUUUGAUCUUUUAAAUUUACCCAAAACUUUUUUCGUAUUUUCAACUUCGUCCUUACUCGGACUACGCCGUUUUAAAGGAAGGGUAAUUUUCUUUGAUGGUCCCUCCAUGUUACAUGCGUGUUCAGAGCAAUCCCUCCCCUUUCGUUUAUUUGCGCUUUGAACCCCCCGAAUCUUGUUUAAUGUUUAAUCUAAUCCUUUAGUGAUUUUGUUUAUUUUCUUUACAAAUUUUAUAUUAUUAUUGUUAUUGCAUCAUUAUUAUUAUUGUAAUUGCUUUUAUAGAUA
This 1454-nucleotide long non-coding RNA is filed under the name Gossypium barbadense (sea-island cotton). Its description in RNAcentral is "long non-coding RNA (GBAR_LNC023257)". The record is from RNAcentral. Lineage: Eukaryota; Viridiplantae; Streptophyta; Magnoliopsida; Malvales; Malvaceae.